This is a long non-coding RNA of Hibiscus syriacus, 341 nucleotides long. RefSeq lists it as uncharacterized. The record is from RefSeq and is a predicted model, not a curated record. NCBI's taxonomy places the organism in Eukaryota, Viridiplantae, Streptophyta, Magnoliopsida, Malvales, Malvaceae. The transcript has 3 exons.
UCUUCGACAAUCAUGAUUUUCCAGAAAAGGGAAUUUCUAAACUGAGUCUUUUGAAUGAGCUUGAUGACAGCUUGUUGCUUGUUGCUUCAAGUGAUGGAAACAUCCGAGUUUGGAAUGAUUAUACACUGAGGGGGAAACAGAAACUCGUUACUGCAUUUUCUUCUAUCCAAGGCCACAAACCUGUUGUGCGGAGUUUGAAUGCGAUUGUGGACUGGCAGCAGCAGUCUGGGUAUCUUUAUUCAUCCGGGGAGAUAUCAUCCAUCAUGCUUUGGGACCUGGAUAAGGAGCAGCUCGUUAAGUCAAUACCAUCAUCCUCAGAUUGCAAUGUCUCAGCACUGGCA